CUGGUACUACCGACCUCCCGAGGUUAUAUCAGAAGGAGGAUUGUCUGCUUCUGGACUAUGGUUGAUUGCGGGCAACUGAACAGGCAGAAAGAGAAAGCACAGGUGCUGAGAUCAGGAACCAUGGGAAUAGCUCCCAUGGAGACAUGACAUCUAUACAAUUACAAUUACAUCAUGGCUGACUUCUUUCUAUGUCUUUUUAUGGGGCUAUUGAGCAUCUCAACAGAACACAAGAGAUUCUCAGAACAGAUUGCAAACCACAAAUCUAAUCCCAAUUGCUCUUAUAUUACAGAGGCAUUGCUAAGAUGAUUUCAUAAAAAAGAGAAAACAAUUUUAGGAGAUCAACACAUUUCAUCUUCCCUGAAAUGCUUUCAGUUGUGGACGGUGCAAAUUCUGCCCUGUCUGAAUGCCUCUCCGUAACUGGAUUCCCAGGAGGAAUGGCGGGUGCAGAGAACCAGGGGAGCCAGAGGGACCAGAGUGAAUUUUCAGAAUUGUUUUUCUUUGACAGACUCCAAGUAGCCACGUCAAAAAUCUGCAUGUCUGCCAUCGCAGCUCCUGUAUGCUACAGAACCCUUCACAGAAGAAUUAGUCUGAUUUUGUGAAAGAAAAACAUGCUUCCUCUCUUGAUUUGGUUUAAACUUUAGAAUUCUUUAUCCCAAGUUUAUUUUAUAACCUUUUUCUUUCCUUCUGAUCUUAGACUAAAGUUCUAAUUCUUUCUUUUAGAUAACCUUGAUCCGUUUGAAGUUGUCUUUCUUAGUUAGAAUGCAUAAGCAACACAUAAGUAUGUCUGGACUCUAUCUAAACAGACCUUUCUGACAGCAUAAGUCAAGAAGGAUAAAUCAUUCAGACAGGAGAAAUCUUUUGAACUGUGGACAGACACGAAGAGUGAGAGGCACAGAGGGAAAGGGGAAACAUAUUGGAGAGAUUCUGAUGAUGAGACAGGAAUUCACAGAUGAGACUUAAAAUCAAACAUGCAAGCUCUUCCCAGGGGUUCAUGUAAAUUUGCUUCUAAUCCCCGCAGCUGAAAAGAAUGUUAAACAUGAUCUGAUGAAAUCCAACACUUCAUUUUACAGAUGAGAAAACCGAGUCCCAGAAACAUACAAGAGCGUGUUCCAUGGAGCAAACUCAAUUCUGUUUCUACUUCUGGUAACAGAAGGCAAUGAUCUGUCGAAGAGAUGUAUUAAGUCACAGGUUAUAGAAAACAAAAUCUCAGAUAGUUUUGAAAAUUGGAGUCCCUAUAACAAUGAUUCUUUUUGCCAGACACAUAUUAUUUUGAGCCACGAUACUGUCUGAGAAGCGCUCCUCUGCUCCACACAGGAAUAUUCAUUCAUUAACCAUGUAAGUUACAGAUCUGUGCUGUCCGAUACAGUAGCCAUCAGCCACAAGUGACUAUGUAAUUGCAUUUUGAGUUAAAAUUAAAUAAAAAUAAAAAUUUAGUUCCUCAGUUAUGCUAGUCACAUUUCAAGUACUCAACACCUACAUGUGACUAGUGGCUGCCUAUAUUGGACAGGGCACACAUAGAACUUUCCAUCACUGCUGAAAGUUCUUUUAGGCAGCACGAUUAUGGAUCACUAACUGUAGAGAGUAUAAACAGAGUACAACACAAAGUCAGGUACAUACUGUGAUGGGCUGGUCCA
Molecule: long non-coding RNA, 1634 nt
Organism: Ailuropoda melanoleuca (giant panda)
Lineage: Eukaryota; Metazoa; Chordata; Mammalia; Carnivora; Ursidae
Exons: 5
Source: RefSeq, a predicted model, not a curated record